This 70-nucleotide transfer RNA is filed under the name Pseudorhombus dupliciocellatus (ocellated flounder). RNAcentral describes it as "tRNA-His". It matches the Rfam family "tRNA". Rfam says of the family: Transfer RNA (tRNA) molecules are approximately 80 nucleotides in length. Their secondary structure includes four short double-helical elements and three loops (D, anti-codon, and T loops). Further hydrogen bonds mediate the characteristic L-shaped molecular structure. tRNAs have two regions of fundamental functional importance: the anti-codon, which is responsible for specific mRNA codon recognition, and the 3' end, to which the tRNAs corresponding amino acid is attached (by aminoacyl-tRNA synthetases). tRNAs cope with the degeneracy of the genetic code in two manners: having more than one tRNA (with a specific anti-codon) for a particular amino acid; and 'wobble' base-pairing, i.e. permitting non-standard base-pairing at the 3rd anti-codon position. The record is from RNAcentral. Lineage: Eukaryota; Metazoa; Chordata; Actinopteri; Pleuronectiformes; Paralichthyidae.
GUAGGUAUAGUUUAACUCAAAACAUUAGAUUGUGAUUCUAAAAAUAAGGGUUAGAAUCCCCUUACCCACC